AGAGAACUCGGGAGAAGGAACUCGGCAAAUUGACACCGUAACUUCGGAAGAAGGUGUGCCCUAUUAGUGUGAAGUGAACAACGGAGCAUGAAUGGGUUGCAAAAAAUCGGUGGCUGCGACUGUUUAUUAAAAACACAGCACUCUGCAAACACGAAAGUGGACGUAUAGGGUGUGACGCCUGCCCGGUGCUGGAAGAUUAAAUGAUGGGGUGCAAGCUCUUGAUUGAAGUCCCAGUAAACGGCGGCCGUAACAAUAACGGUCCUAAGGUAGCGAAAUUCCUUGUCGGGUAAGUUCCGACCUGCACGAAUGGCGUAACGAUGGCCACACUGUCUCCUCCCGAGACUCAGCGAAGUUGAAAUGUUUGUGAUGAUGCAAUCUCCCCGCGGAAAGACGGAAAGACCCCAUGAACCUUUACUGUAGCUUUGUAUUGGACUUUGAACAGAUCUGUGUAGGAUAGGUGGGAGGCUUUGAAGCAGGGUCGCUAGAUCUUGUGGAGCCAACGUUGAAAUACCACCCUGGUGUGUUUGAGGUUCUAACCUAGGUCCAUUAUCUGGAUCGGGGACAGUGCAUGGUAGGCAGUUUGACUGGGGCGGUCCCCUCCCAAAGCGUAACGGAGGAGUUCGAAGGUACGCUAGUUACGGUCGGACAUCGUGCCGAUAGUGCAAUGGCAUAAGCGUGCUUAACUGCGAGACUGACAAGUCGAGCAGAUGCGAAAGCAGGACAUAGUGAUCCGGUGGUUCUGUAUGGAAGGGCCAUCGCUCAACGGAUAAAAGGUACUCUGGAUAACAGGCUGAUACCGCCCAAGAGUUCAUAUCGACGGCGGUGUUUGGCACCUCGAUGUCGGCUCAUCUCAUCCUGGGGCUGUAGCCGGUCCCAAGGGUAUGGCUGUUCGCCAUUUAAAGAGGUACGUGAGCUGGGUUUAAAACGUCGUGAGACAGUUUGGUCCCUAUCUUCCGUGGGCGCUGCAGAUUUGAGGAAGCCUGCUCCUAGUACGAGAGGACCGGAGUGGACGCACCUCUGGUGUAUCGGUUGUCACGCCAGUGGCAUUGCCGAGUAGCUAUGUGCGGAAGAGAUAACCGCUGAAAGCAUCUAAGCGGGAAACUCGUUCCAAGAUGAGAUCUGCCGGGGCCUUGAGCCCCCUAAAGAGUCGUUCAAGACCAGGACGUUGAUAGGUCGGGUGUGGAAGCGCAGUAAUGCGUUAAGCUAACCGAUACUAAUUGCUCGUGCGGCUUGACCA
RNAcentral lists this ribosomal RNA (1237 nucleotides) under metagenome. RNAcentral's name for it is "bacterial LSU rRNA". It matches the Rfam family "Bacterial large subunit ribosomal RNA", at positions 1693 to 2925 of the family's 2925-position model. The record is from RNAcentral.